GACGAACGCUGGCGGCGUGCCUAAUACAUGCAAGUCGAACGCUUCUUUCCUCCCGAGUGCUUGCACUCAAUUGGAAAGAGGAGUGGUGGACGGGUGAGUAACACGUGGGUAACCUACCCAUCAGAGGGGGAUAACACUUGGAAACAGGUGCUAAUACCGCAUAACAGUUUAUGCCGCAUGGCAUAAGAGUGAAAGGCGCUUUCGGGUGUCGCUGAUGGAUGGACCCGCGGUGCAUUAGCUAGUUGGUGAGGUAACGGCUCACCAAGGCCACGAUGCAUAGCCGACCUGAGAGGGUGAUCGGCCACACUGGGACUGAGACACGGCCCAGACUCCUACGGGAGGCAGCAGUAGGGAAUCUUCGGCAAUGGACGAAAGUCUGACCGAGCAACGCCGCGUGAGUGAAGAAGGUUUUCGGAUCGUAAAACUCUGUUGUUAGAGAAGAACAAGGACGUUAGUAACUGAACGUCCCCUGACGGUAUCUAACCAGAAAGCCACGGCUAACUACGUG
This 508-nucleotide ribosomal RNA is filed under the name uncultured bacterium. RNAcentral's name for it is "partial 16S ribosomal RNA". It matches the Rfam family "Bacterial small subunit ribosomal RNA", at positions 28 to 507 of the family's 1533-position model. The record is from RNAcentral.